GAUGAACGCUGGCGGCGUGCCUAAUACAUGCAAGUAGAACGCUGAAGCUUGGUGCUUGCACCGAGCGGAUGAGUUGCGAACGGGUGAGUAACGCGUAGGUAACCUGCCUCUUAGCGGGGGAUAACUAUUGGAAACGAUAGCUAAUACCGCAUAAAAGUCGAUAUCGCAUGAUAUUGAUUUGAAAGGUGCAAUUGCAUCACUAAGAGAUGGACCUGCGUUGUAUUAGCUAGUUGGUGAGGUAACGGCUCACCAAGGCGACGAUACAUAGCCGACCUGAGAGGGUGAUCGGCCACACUGGGACUGAGACACGGCCCAGACUCCUACGGGAGGCAGCAGUAGGGAAUCUUCGGCAAUGGGGGCAACCCUGACCGAGCAACGCCGCGUGAGUGAAGAAGGUUUUCGGAUCGUAAAGCUCUGUUGUAAGAGAAGAACGAGUGUGAGAGUGGAAAGUUCACACUGUGACGGUAACUUACCAGAAAGGGACGGCUAACUACGUGCCAGCAGCCGCGGUAAUACGUAGGUCCCGAGCGUUAUCCGGAUUUAUUGGGCGUAAAGCGAGCGCAGGCGGUUAGAUAAGUCUGAAGUUAAAGGCUGUGGCUUAACCAUAGUACGCUUUGGAAACUGUUUAACUUGAGUGCAGAAGGGGAGAGUGGAAUUCCAUGUGUAGCGGUGAAAUGCGUAGAUAUAUGGAGGAACACCGGUGGCGAAAGCGGCUCUCUGGUCUGUAACUGACGCUUAGGCUCGAAAGCGUGGGGGAGCAAACAGG
RNAcentral lists this ribosomal RNA (766 nucleotides) under uncultured Streptococcus sp. Its description in RNAcentral is "bacterial SSU rRNA". It matches the Rfam family "Bacterial small subunit ribosomal RNA", at positions 28 to 776 of the family's 1533-position model. The record is from RNAcentral. Lineage: Bacteria; Bacillati; Bacillota; Bacilli; Lactobacillales; Streptococcaceae.